CUGGUCUGCUCCGUGUCCAAAGU
This 23-nucleotide microRNA is filed under the name Ascaris suum (pig roundworm). RNAcentral's name for it is "asu-miR-791-5p". Its record names the gene asu-miR-791-5p. Lineage: Eukaryota; Metazoa; Nematoda; Chromadorea; Rhabditida; Ascarididae. The record is from miRBase by way of RNAcentral.